CCCCAAAGUGCCACAGUGCCACUCGAUCGAACCGUUCCCUCGGUCAAAGCCCAACCCCUCGCUCUCGCGCAGCUCCUCUGCUCUUGCAACCCUAGCAAGCCACCACCCCGUCGCCGUCCGGCCGCCGCGCCGCCGUGAGUCUCCGCCGCCGCCGCCCCUCGCAUCUCCGCUCGUCCCGCAGGUAUCCUUCCAUCGCCGCCAGAAGUCCGCAUAGAGUCAUCUCCUGCCUCUGCCGCCACCCCCUUCCGUUGGUCGCCGUCGGCAGCCGCACGGACUACUCCUGGACAGGACUGCAGAUCCUCGCGCCAGAGAAUCCCUUCCCCCAGCUCAAGAUCCUUGUCGCCCAUGAGUGAUGGACGCUGUAUGGUUAUGCAGUGCUGCUGGUGUGAAGGUUAUUACCCUUUAUGGUUUAUUUUUCUUUGAUCAUAUCUUCUUUCCAUCUAUAUCUACUUCAAAUAUUCUUUCCAUGGAAUCUCAACCGAUUGGGUUUGUAAUAGGAGGUUUGGAUCAUGCAGUUUGCAGAUAUUCAAUUAUAAAAUAUUUGUGGUUCAUCAGUUCCUUUUGUGCAUGUUGUGAAGAAUGUGUCAUAUGAGCCAAGAUUCAAACGCUUCUGGAUGUGAAUUUGACAAAACGGAUCAUCUUAGGAUGAGUGUCCUGAAGAAUCGGAAGAUGCUGCAAAACAUGAUGAUGUGAUACUGCCAUGCUAUUUCUACCGGUCUCUCUGCUAGUGCCUUAUCGCUCGUUCACCAAUCUCCAUCCUCACCAUGGUCUCUGUACUCAACAAGGGUGAACUCUACAAGUUCUAGUAGGCUCCUCGGUGACUCCUCACAGGAGAGCUUUUGGCCUGAUCUGAUGGAGCUGAGAGGUCAAAGGAAGAAGUCAAACCUGAAGAAGUGCAGGGAGGAAAUUACAGCUGCGUGUGUCCGGCUGGUUCAGGGGAUGUGCAGGGCGGCCGUAGCCAUGCGGGUGUCGAGGCAGGCGAUCUCGCGGAUGGAUGCCAUGCUGCGAGGGUAGGUUCCUGGGCGCCCGCUACGUUGAUGACGGAUUCCACGCUGCGAGCGGCAACAAUCGGCGACAAUCGGCGAUGGCGAUCGUGCAGGGAGGCGACGGUGUUGGUGGGCGGCAUCUGGUGCGGUGGUGACUCAAGGCAGACAAACGUCGAGGUCAAGGGCGAGGGAGCAGAUUUGAUUGAGUUUCCUUAGUUUGCGAUUUGAUUGCGUGAUUGUAGGGAAACACGGGAGGGAGCAGAUUUGGUUGUGUUUCCUUAGUUUGCGAUCUGAUUGCGUGAUUGCAGGGAAACAUGGGAUUGGUUGUUGGAAUACUCCUCUGGUGGUGGAGUACGGUCAGUCAUUAGAAAUUGCUAAGUACACACCAUCCCGCUAUUAGAUAAAUGAUGGCCGUUAGAUUGAAAUUUGUGGGACUAAUCGUGUGGUUCUGACUGGGUUGUGCGGUGUUGUGGGGGCUAAUAGUGGGGUGCGUGUAAGAAAGUUUUUGUUCGAUUGUUCAAUAGUAGUGGAGAAGUGGAGAUAAUCGUGUGGUUCUGACUGGGUUGUGCGGUGUUGUGGGGGCUAAUAGUAGGGUGCGU
This 1585-nucleotide ribosomal RNA is filed under the name Triticum aestivum (bread wheat). RNAcentral's name for it is "partial small subunit ribosomal RNA". Lineage: Eukaryota; Viridiplantae; Streptophyta; Magnoliopsida; Poales; Poaceae. The record is from RNAcentral.